This is a long non-coding RNA of Oncorhynchus keta (chum salmon), 1374 nucleotides long. RefSeq lists it as uncharacterized. NCBI's taxonomy places the organism in Eukaryota, Metazoa, Chordata, Actinopteri, Salmoniformes, Salmonidae. The transcript is spliced from 3 exons. The record is from RefSeq and is a predicted model, not a curated record.
UUUCUUGGCUUGGCCUGUGAGGUGGGAAAUGGUAGAACAGGAGGCCCACAAGGCAGCAGCCGACUGUUUGAAAAUCUAGUAGAUUUUAACUUCUUGUGGUUCCUCAUACUUGUUCUUGUCUUGUUAAAAUGUCUUACGAACCAGUGCCACCUUGAAUUACAGGGCGCCGUUGAAAGGAGUGAUAACUGGAGUUGAAGAUUCCUGGUGUCUGUGACACCUGCCGUUUGGUGCGAUGCAGACCCGGUGGAGAGCGUGGUGAAACAGAGAAGACACUCUCUGUAAUACUGAGUUUUGAUGCAGAGUUUUUACCAGAUAAAGUCAAGUUAUGGUCAUGUGGCAGCUGUCUAGUUAACUAUGUGUAUGACACCACCUACUGGUGCUGAGUACUCGCUGACACUACCUACAGCAGAUUAUGAAACAAGGAAACCAUUCAGCUGGGGGAAGAGCUUCCACCACCACACCACUAACACACAAACAGAUUUCCUUCCUAACCUCAUCUCCUCAAACUCAGGUCUGGAAACUGAGGCCAUCUCUGUAAGGAACUCACUGUUGGUCCAUGUGAGAGUGAGGUGGGAAAAAGCAUCAUACCAAUGACUGUAUUGAAGGAGGAGGGCCUUCUUCUAACAGCCGUUUCCUGUGCCCAUAGCGGGAGCCAGAUUCCUUUCAUGAGCAUCUGUAGAGCUGCAUCUGCACUGCUGAAGGAGAAUGCCCAACAUUCCCAGAAUACGAACACAUACCGCUGUAGAUCAGACUAAAGCAGGACUUCUAUACAGACUACUUAUAGUCAUAGCAUCUGUAUGAUAUAUCCAGCUUAUUACAUGAGUUUGGGUUUCUAAUGAAAUGUCUCUCUUUAAGGCUAUUGUUGUCAUUAAUCAUUUCAAAGAGCCAUGCCCAAAAACAGAAAUACCAAGACAUUCUAAACAGCUUAAUCUUUUGAAGUUAGGAAUGCAAUUUCGGAUGCAGCGUCGCAGGACAAACAUGCCCAAAUAAAGUAUAAGACAGACUUCAGUUGCCUCAAAUUUGACCUUCCCUAUGCUGGUCAUAUGUCACAAACGUAGACAAGAAAUGUAUCUACCUCAGAGCAGACCUGGGUUCAAUACAUGCAUAUCUGUGUAUUUUCAAAUGAUUUCACCAAAUCAACUCCUUUAAUUUUAAGUAUUCUUUAAUAAUUAUAUUAAUAGCCAUUCUCAGUUACUUCAAAUACCCCUAGGACCAAAUGGACAAAUGCAAAGAGUAUUUUAAUAUUUGUAUUCGAAAAUACACUUCUGUGUAUUUAAGCAUUUAAGUACAUGCCAGUACUUUUAAAGUGUAUUUCCAAGUACAUUGCAAUAUUCAACUACUUGUAUUUCCAAAUAAAAAAUAUCAAAAUAUUCA